Molecule: transfer RNA, 84 nt
Filed under: Sandaracinus amylolyticus
Lineage: Bacteria; Pseudomonadati; Myxococcota; Polyangiales; Sandaracinaceae
Rfam family: tRNA
About the family: Transfer RNA (tRNA) molecules are approximately 80 nucleotides in length.
Source: Rfam by way of RNAcentral
GCGGAAGUGGCGGAAUUGGCAGACGCGCUGGAUUCAGGUUCCAGUACCCGCAAGGGUGUGUAGGUUCAAGUCCUAUCUUCCGCA